Molecule: unclassified non-coding RNA, 330 nt
Filed under: soil metagenome
Description: partial contains 5.8S ribosomal RNA, internal transcribed spacer 2, and large subunit ribosomal RNA
Rfam family: 5.8S ribosomal RNA (bases 1-120)
Source: RNAcentral
GAUGAAGAACGUAGCGAAAUGCGAUAAGUAAUGUGAAUUGCAGAAUUCAGUGAAUCAUCGAAUCUUUGAACGCACAUUGCGCCCCCUGGUAUUCCGGGGGGCAUGCCUGUUCGAGCGUCAUUUCACCACUCAAGCCUCGCUUGGUAUUGGGCAACGCGGUCCGCCGCGUGCCUCAAAUCGACCGGCUGGGUCUUCUGUCCCCUAAGCGUUGUGGAAACUUUCGCUAAAGGGUGUUCGGGAGGCUACGCCGUAAAACAACCCCAUUUCUAAGGUUGACCUCGGAUCAGGUAGGGAUACCCGCUGAACUCAAGCAUAUCAAUAAGCGGAGGA